RNAcentral lists this transfer RNA (95 nucleotides) under Streptomyces virginiae. RNAcentral describes it as "tRNA-Arg". RNAcentral also lists the same sequence under 1 other name. Lineage: Bacteria; Bacillati; Actinomycetota; Actinomycetes; Kitasatosporales; Streptomycetaceae. The record is from RNAcentral.
CGCAGGGCCGGGUGGGCGGCGACGACGGCGUUCGCGGCGCGCUGGGCAUCGGCGAACCCGGUGCCCUCGGCCGCGGUCACCGCCCGGGCCUGCGC